GCGUCCAUAGUCUAAUGUAUAGGACAUAGGUCUUUUAAACCUUUGGUAUAGGUUCAAAUCCUAUUGGAUGCA
Molecule: transfer RNA, 72 nt
Filed under: Spinacia oleracea (spinach)
Lineage: Eukaryota; Viridiplantae; Streptophyta; Magnoliopsida; Caryophyllales; Amaranthaceae
Rfam family: tRNA
About the family: Transfer RNA (tRNA) molecules are approximately 80 nucleotides in length.
Source: Rfam by way of RNAcentral